Molecule: ribosomal RNA, 274 nt
Filed under: uncultured bacterium
Lineage: Bacteria
Description: partial 16S ribosomal RNA
Rfam family: Bacterial small subunit ribosomal RNA
Source: RNAcentral
AUACGGAGGGUGCAAGCGUUAAUCGGAAUUACUGGGCGUAAAGAGUACGUAGGUGGUUUAUUAAGUCAGAUGUGAAAGCCCCGGGCUUAACCUGGGAACUGCAUUUGAUACUGGCAAACUAGAGUAUGGUAGAGGCGGGUAGAAUUCCUAGUGUAGCGGUGAAAUGCGUAGAUAUUAGGAGGAAGACCAGUGGCGAAGGCGGCCCGCUAGACCAAUACUGACACUGAGGUACGAAAGCGUGGGUAGCGAACAGAAUUAGAAACCCUAGUAGUCC